UACGGGGGGGGCAAGCGUUGUUCGGAAUUACUGGGCGUAAAGGGCUCGUAGGCGGCCAACUUAAGUCGGAUGUGAAAUCCCCAGGCUUAACCUGGGGAACUGCAUCCGAUACUGGAUGGCUUGAAUUCGGGAGAGGGAUGCAGAAUUCCAGGUGUAGCGGUGAAAUGCGUAGAUAUCUGGAGGAAUACCGGUGGCGAAGGCGGCAUCCUGGACCGAGAUUGACGCUGAUGGAGCGAAAGCUAGGGGAGCAAACGGG
Molecule: ribosomal RNA, 256 nt
Filed under: uncultured bacterium
Lineage: Bacteria
Description: partial 16S ribosomal RNA
Rfam family: Bacterial small subunit ribosomal RNA
Source: RNAcentral